This 514-nucleotide ribosomal RNA is filed under the name bacterium E-1-0-1G. RNAcentral's name for it is "bacterial SSU rRNA". It matches the Rfam family "Bacterial small subunit ribosomal RNA", at positions 391 to 896 of the family's 1533-position model. The record is from RNAcentral.
CCUAGACCGCGUGUGUGAAGAAGGCCUUUUGGUUGUAAAGCACUUUAAGCGAGGAGGAGGAGCUCUUGGUUAAUACCCAAGAUGCUUGGACGUUACUCGCAGAAUAAGCACCGGCUAACUCUGUGCCAGCAGCCGCGGUAAUACAGAGGGUGCAAGCGUUAAUCGGAUUUACUGGGCGUAAAGCGCGCGUAGGUGGCCAAUUAAGUCAAAUGUGAAAUCCCCGAGCUUAACUUGGGAAUUGCAUUCGAUACUGGUUGGCUAGAGUAUGGGAGAGGAUGGUAGAAUUCCAGGUGUAGCGGUGAAAUGCGUAGAGAUCUGGAGGAAUACCGAUGGCGAAGGCAGCCAUCUGGCCUAAUACUGACACUGAGGUGCGAAAGCAUGGGGAGCAAACAGGAUUAGAUACCCUGGUAGUCCAUGCCGUAAACGAUGUCUACUAGCCGUUGGGGCCUUUGAGGCUUUAGUGGCGCAGCUAACGCGAUAAGUAGACCGCCUGGGGAGUACGGUCGCAAGACUA